This is a non-coding RNA of Schistosoma curassoni, 45 nucleotides long. The record is from Rfam. Lineage: Eukaryota; Metazoa; Platyhelminthes; Trematoda; Strigeidida; Schistosomatidae.
AUCCAGUUGACCAGUCUUAAAUAGGACGAAACAAGUGUCCUGUAU